GGAGGUCCCGCCUGCCCCGUGAUAUAUAUUUAACGGCCGCGGUAUUUUGACCGCGCAAAGGUAGCGCAAUCACUUGUCCUUUAAAUGAAGACCCGUAUGAAUGGCACGACGAGGGCUUAACUGUCUCCUUUUUCCAGUCAAUGAAAUUGAUCUUCCCGUGCAGAAGCGGGAAUACAACCAUAAGACGAGAAGACCCUAUGGAGCUUUAAACAAAAAUAGAUCUUGUUAAACAANUCUAACUAAAGAAAUGAACNUAAGAGAAUCCUAUCAUUNAUGUUUUUGGUUGGGGCGACCGCGGGGAAACAAACAACCCCCAUGUGGACUGAGAAAACAUUACUCACAACAAAGAGCUACAGCUCUAAUUAACAGAAUUUCUGACCUUUAAGAUCCGGCAAUGCCGAUCAACGGACCGAGUUACCCUAGGGAUAACAGCGCAAUCCUCUUUAAGAGUUCAUAUCGACAAGGGGGUUUACGACCUCGAUGUUGGAUCAGGACACCCUAAUGGUGCAGCAGCUAUUAAGGG
This 523-nucleotide ribosomal RNA is filed under the name Betta mahachaiensis. RNAcentral's name for it is "partial 16S ribosomal RNA". It matches the Rfam family "Bacterial large subunit ribosomal RNA", at positions 1848 to 2571 of the family's 2925-position model. The record is from RNAcentral. Lineage: Eukaryota; Metazoa; Chordata; Actinopteri; Anabantiformes; Osphronemidae.